This 257-nucleotide ribosomal RNA is filed under the name Escherichia coli. RNAcentral describes it as "partial 16S ribosomal RNA". It matches the Rfam family "Bacterial small subunit ribosomal RNA", at positions 1 to 254 of the family's 1533-position model. The record is from RNAcentral. RNAcentral also lists the same sequence under 2 other names. Lineage: Bacteria; Pseudomonadati; Pseudomonadota; Gammaproteobacteria; Enterobacterales; Enterobacteriaceae.
AAAUUGAAGAGUUUGAUCAUGGCUCAGAUUGAACGCUGGCGGCAGGCCUAACACAUGCAAGUCGAACGGUAACAGGAAGAAGCUUGCUUCUUUGCUGACGAGUGGCGGACGGGUGAGUAAUGUCUGGGAAACUGCCUGAUGGAGGGGGAUAACUACUGGAAACGGUAGCUAAUACCGCAUAACGUCGCAAGACCAAAGAGGGGGACCUUCGGGCCUCUUGCCAUCGGAUGUGCCCAGAUGGGAUUAGCUAGUAGGUG